RNAcentral lists this unclassified non-coding RNA (329 nucleotides) under soil metagenome. RNAcentral's name for it is "partial contains 5.8S ribosomal RNA, internal transcribed spacer 2, and large subunit ribosomal RNA". The stretch from base 1 to 120 matches the Rfam family "5.8S ribosomal RNA", at positions 35 to 154 of the family's 154-position model. The record is from RNAcentral.
GAUGAAGAACGUAGCGAAAUGCGAUAAGUAAUGUGAAUUGCAGAAUUCAGUGAAUCAUCGAAUCUUUGAACGCACAUUGCGCCCCCUGGUAUUCCGGGGGGCAUGCCUGUCCGAGCGUCAUUACAACCCUCAAGCUCAGCUCGGUGUUGGGCCCCGCCGCCCCGGCGGGCCCUAAAGUCAGUGGCGGUGCCGUCCGGCUCCGAGCGUAGUAAUUCUUCUCGCUCUGGAGGUCCGGUCGUGUGCUCGCCAGCAACCCCCAAUUUUUUUCAGGUUGACCUCGGAUCAGGUAGGGAUACCCGCUGAACUUAAGCAUAUCAAUAAGCGGAGGA